This 502-nucleotide ribosomal RNA is filed under the name uncultured bacterium. RNAcentral's name for it is "partial 16S ribosomal RNA". It matches the Rfam family "Bacterial small subunit ribosomal RNA", at positions 30 to 507 of the family's 1533-position model. The record is from RNAcentral.
AUCGAACGCUGGCGGCGUGCCUAACACAUGCAAGUCGAACGUGAAAGGGAGCAAUCCCCCGUAAAUUGGCGUACGGGUGAGUAACACGUAGGUAAUCUACCCCAGAAUCUGGAAUAACCGGCCGAAAGGCUGGCGAAUACUGGAUAGAGCGACGGAAUCCGUAAUUGGGUUUUUCGGGAAAGGGAGCCUGUAAAAAGGCCUUCGUUCUGGGAUGAGCCUGCGUCCCAUCAGCUAGUUGGUGAGGGAAAAGCUUACCAAGGCAAUGACGGGUAGAUGGUCUGAGAGGAAGAUCCGCCAAACUGGGACUGAAACACGGUCCCGACUCCUACGGGAAGGAGCAGUGGGGAAUUUUGCGACAUGGACGAAAGUCUUACGCAGCAACGCCGGGUGGGUGAAGGAGGGUCUUGGGUUGUAAAGCUCUGUCGAGUGGGAAGAAAUUGCUUGGAGUUAACAGCUCCAGGAACUGACGGUACCAAUAAAGGAAGCACCGGCUAACUCCGUG